This is a small nuclear RNA of Lontra canadensis (Northern American river otter), 196 nucleotides long. RefSeq annotates it as U2 spliceosomal RNA. The transcript has a single exon. The record is from RefSeq and is a predicted model, not a curated record. NCBI's taxonomy places the organism in Eukaryota, Metazoa, Chordata, Mammalia, Carnivora, Mustelidae.
AUCGCUUCUCGGCCUUUUGGCUAAGAUCAAGUGUAGUACAAUCAAUGCUGAAAGAAUAAAGAACACAUUAGUAGAAGAUAGCAGUAGAUUAUUUUCUUUUUUUUUUUUAAGAUUUUAUUUAUUUAUUUGACAGACAAAGAUUACAAGUUGGCAGAGAGGCAGGCGGUGGGGGGUGGGAGGAAGCAGCUUCCCUCCU